UGAAGACAGUGGAGACUGAGCUCAGGU
This 27-nucleotide non-coding RNA is filed under the name Mus musculus (house mouse). Lineage: Eukaryota; Metazoa; Chordata; Mammalia; Rodentia; Muridae. The record is from RNAcentral.